UCCGGUUGAUCCUGCCGGACCCCACUGCUAUCGGGAUAGGACUAAGACAUGCUAGUCGAGUGAUUCAGGCAAAACGAGUCACGGCACACAGCUCAGUAACACGUGGCUAAUCUGCCCUUAGGACGAGAACAACCCCGGGAAACUGGGGCUAACUCUCGAUAGGCGAAGAACUCUGGAAUGAGUCUUUACCUAAAUAGCGCAACGUUAUCCUCGUUGCAUCGCCUAAGGAUGAGGCCGCGACCGAUCAGGUUGUUGGCGAGGUAAUGGCUCACCAAGCCUUUUACCGGUGCGGGCCGUGAGAGCGGGAGCCCGGAGAUGGGCACUGAGACAAGGGCCCAGGCCCUACGGGGCGCAGCAGUCGCGAAAACUUUGCAAUAAGCGAAAGCUUGACAGGGCUAUCCCGAGUGCCAUCCGCUGAGGAAGGCUUUUACCCAGUCUAGAACGCUGGGGGAAUAAGGAGAGGGCAAGUCUGGUGUCAGCCGCCGCGGUAAUACCAGCUCUCCGAGUGGUGUGGAUGUUUAUUGGGCCUAAAGCAUCCGUAGCUGGCUAGGUCAGUCCCUUGUUAAAUCCACCGAAUUAAUCGUUGGAUUGCGGGGAUACUGCUUGGCUAGGGGACGAGAGAGGCAGACGGUAUUUUCGGGGUAGGGGUGAAAUCCUAUAAUCCCGGGAAGACCACCAGUGGCGAAGGCUGUCUGCUAGAACGCGCCCGACGGUGAGGGAUGAAAGCUGGGGGAGCGAACCGGAUUAGAUACCCGGGUAGUCCCAGCUGUAAACGAUGCAGACUAUGUGUUUGGACGGCCACGUGCCGUUCUAGUGCCGCAGGGAAGCUGUUAAGUCUGCCGCCUGGGGAGUACGAUCGCAAGAUUGAAACUUAAGGAAU
RNAcentral lists this ribosomal RNA (880 nucleotides) under uncultured archaeon. Its description in RNAcentral is "bacterial SSU rRNA". It matches the Rfam family "Archaeal small subunit ribosomal RNA", at positions 1 to 865 of the family's 1478-position model. The record is from RNAcentral.